CCUACGGGUGGCAGCAGUGGGGAAUCUUGCGCAAUGGGCGAAAGCCUGACGCAGCGACGCCGCGUGGGUGACGAAGGCCUUCGGGUUGUAAAGCCCUGUGGGGCGAGACGAACAGUCUUUGGUCGAACAGGCCGGGGAUCUGACGGUAUCGCCUUAGCAAGCACCGGCUAACUCUGUGCCAGCAGCCGCGGUAAUACAGAGGGUGCAAACGUUGCUCGGAAUUACUGGGCGUAAAGCGCGUGUAGGCGGCUUCAUAAGUCCGACGUGAAAGCCCG
RNAcentral lists this ribosomal RNA (275 nucleotides) under uncultured bacterium. Its description in RNAcentral is "partial 16S ribosomal RNA". It matches the Rfam family "Bacterial small subunit ribosomal RNA", at positions 338 to 604 of the family's 1533-position model. The record is from RNAcentral.